CUCAACUGGGUCUCUAUUUCUCACCUGGGGGUCUCUAUUCUCACACUGGGGGUUCUGUGUCUCAUGUUUGGGGGUCUCCAUUUCUCACAUUGGGGGGUCUCUAUUCUCACACUGGGGGUCUCUAUUCUCACACUGGGGGUCUCUAUUCUCACGCUGGGGGUCUCUAUUCUCACAUUGGGGGUCUCUAUUCUCACACUGGGGGUCUCUAUUCUCACACUGGGGGUCUCUAUGCUCACAUUGGGGGUCUCCAUUCUCACAUUGGGGGUCUCAUUCUCUACAUUGGGUCUGGGCCCCAGGCCGCUACUCCCAGAUGAAAGCCAAGGACAAUCGCGUCCCCACGGCGGCCCAACUACUCCCUGACGAACCUCCGCUCUCGAGGAGAGAACCCAGGACCACACGCCGGGUAUUUGGGGGGGGAUGUAGGGUGUUCGGGACACAGACCCGCCCUGUAGCGGAGCCCCCAGACCAUAACUAUACAUGAUGAGACCCCUGAAAACCAGCCCCGUCCGUCCUAUUACCCUCAGCCCCAAUCCCCUAUGAGCCCCCAGCCCCAACUCCCC
This is a long non-coding RNA of Coturnix japonica (Japanese quail), 560 nucleotides long. The record is from Ensembl. NCBI's taxonomy places the organism in Eukaryota, Metazoa, Chordata, Aves, Galliformes, Phasianidae.